RNA transcript from Triticum aestivum (bread wheat), 1578 nucleotides. RefSeq lists it as uncharacterized. The record is from RefSeq and is a predicted model, not a curated record. The transcript is spliced from 4 exons. NCBI's taxonomy places the organism in Eukaryota, Viridiplantae, Streptophyta, Magnoliopsida, Poales, Poaceae.
CCCACCCAUGCCCAACCCACGCACACACACCCACGUCACAUUGGAUACCAUCUCUCUCGUCUUCCUCGAUCCCCUUUCUCCACCCCAUGCCGCCGCCAGAUUCGGGCGAUCCCCGCGGUUCCCCACCACCUAGCUCUCCUCCUCAUGGUCACCUCUCCCCGCUCACCAUCUCCACUGACCGGCUUCUCUCCUCGCACAGGAGAGCCACGCCUAGGCACUGGUGGUGGUGCGCCGCGAGGAGGCCCCAGCAGCGUCGAGCUGCUGUUGCUGCGGGCACAGCGACGUCGGCGUGGUCAGGAUGGUCGCAGCCCUUCAAGAUACAUCAACCACCUCAAGCCCGCCCGCCUCGGUGACUGCAUCGAGGCCAAGGCGAACCCCAUCCGGUACCUCGACCCCGACGCGUACUUGGAUAAGGACCAGCUGCUGGACGCAGUGCAUUGGAUCCGGCAGGCGGUGGGGCUCGCCUGCGGCCUGCUCUGGGGCGUCGUCCCCCUCGUCGGCGCCUUCUGGAUUGCCCUAGUUACUUGGAAAUAUUGACAUUCUCAAACCAAAUAUGAGGUGCCCUUUAUUCAGUCCAUGGGAGUAUAUGAAUUUGGUUGCUGCUAUUCAUUUAUGUAUGUGAAGGAAUUGGAUAAUGUGCUCCUUUUUUGUUUGCAAAAUGAAGGACGCUGCAUCCAGGUAGUGGGAAUAGUUAGUCCUUGCUAUCAAUAGUAGUAGCAUUAUUCACUGUGGAGUGUGAUGGAAUUUGAUGAUCAUCUACUUUUGCCUAUCAUCUACUUCUGAUGUUUUCCCUGAAAGUGACACAUGAUCUUCCUUUGUUUUUCUUUAGCUGAUAGUAUGAUAACUGCUUGCUUGGCAGAAGUUAUGGUUGUGAUGUUCCUUAGAUAAAUAAAGAAACCGAGAUUUAGUUCGAUUUGGAGCGCCUCUUGUUGUACCACAGUUCCUUCUCUUAGAGUUGUAUUUGUACUGCAGGUUUUGGAUUGGGAGGGGAAAAUGCUCUUCUUUCAGUCUCUGUUGAAGUCAAACCCAUCCAUGCAAAAUCUGUACUUAGUAGAAUUAAUCUAGAUGAAUAUAUAUGCCUUGCAGUUUUAUCGUGCAUGCCAUUCAACUAACUUGCUCUUGUCCAUGCAGAUGGAGUAGGAGGACGAGCAGCAGCAGCAGCAAAUCAGUCUGAUGAUGACGGGGUGCGGGAGACAAUGGUGAUCAUGCUGAUGGCAUGAAGAAGGCUGAUGACCACAACCUGGACCUGUUGGCAUUUCGAGAUGGCAAACAUAGGCGGCGUGGAGACAACAACCUGGACCACCCACCUCCCUUGCCUUUUUAAUUUUGGUUGUGGUGGUUGCAUCACCGGCGCAGUCGCAAAUCAGUAUGUAGUGUGCUUGUGGUGUUGGGUCUGGACUGCAGUGUCCAUCCAGUAGGUUAGGUGUUGUUGCUGCUAGAUCCCAUGAUGCUCACCUAAGUUUUGUGUUAUGUGGAGGCCAACCUUUGUGAUCUUAUUUGUCGACACUUGUGUGAUCUCGUCUUACUUUGUGAUACAGGUCGUAUGAUAUAUAUGUUUUUAUGGAUGAUCUUGUCUUA